Molecule: ribosomal RNA, 253 nt
Filed under: uncultured bacterium
Lineage: Bacteria
Description: partial 16S ribosomal RNA
Rfam family: Bacterial small subunit ribosomal RNA
Source: RNAcentral
UACGUAGGGUGCGAGCGUUGUCCGGAAUUAUUGGGCGUAAAGGGCUCGUAGGCGGUUUGUCGCGUCGGGAGUGAAAACAUCGGGCUUAACUCGAUGCUUGCUUUCGAUACGGGCAGACUUGAGGUAUGCAGGGGAGAAUGGAAUUCCUGGUGUAGCGGUGAAAUGCGCAGAUAUCAGGAGGAACACCGGUGGCGAAGGCGGUUCUCUGGGCAUUACCUGACGCUGAGGCGCGAAAGCUAGGGGAGCGAACAGG